RNAcentral lists this ribosomal RNA (497 nucleotides) under uncultured bacterium. RNAcentral describes it as "partial 16S ribosomal RNA". It matches the Rfam family "Bacterial small subunit ribosomal RNA", at positions 28 to 507 of the family's 1533-position model. The record is from RNAcentral.
GACGAACGCUGGCGGCGUGCCUAAUACAUGCAAGUCGAGCGAACAGACGAGGAGCUUGCUCCUUUGUCGUUAGCGGCGCACGGGUGAGUAACACGUGUAUAACCUCCUUAUCUGACUGGGAUCACUUCGGGAAACUGGAGCUUAUACCGUAUAAUAUAUUGAUCCGCAUGGUUCUAUUGUGAAAGUCGGUUUUGCUGUCACUUCUCGAUGGAUCUGCGCCGCAUUUGCUAGUUGUUAGGUUAACGGCCUAUCAAGGCAACGAUGCGUAGCCGAGCUGAGAGAGUGAUCGGCCACACUGGAACUGAAACACGGACAAGACUACUACGAGAGGCAGCAGUAGGGAAUCGUCGGCAAUGGGCGAGAGCUUGACGGAGCAAGGCCACGUGAGUGGUGAAAGUGUUAGGAGCGUAAUACUCGCUUAUUAGGGGAGAACAAAUGUGUAAGUAAAUGUGCACGUCUUGACGGUACCGGAUCAAAAAGCCACGGCUAACUACGUG